This 1797-nucleotide ribosomal RNA is filed under the name Triticum aestivum (bread wheat). RNAcentral describes it as "partial small subunit ribosomal RNA". Lineage: Eukaryota; Viridiplantae; Streptophyta; Magnoliopsida; Poales; Poaceae. The record is from RNAcentral.
AUGGACGCCGCCGCAGGGGGAGGAGAAGAAGUAUUUGUCACCUACGCCCAAAUCGGGGCGUACUUCAACAUUCUGGCACUGGAGGGGCCGUCCGCGCAGGAUCGCAUCGAUCGCAUCGUCCCCUACCUCAUCUCCCUCCUGCCCCCACCCUUCGUCCCCGCGCCCGACGCCGACGCCGACGAGUCCUCCGACUCCGACGACGACCACUUCUCCCUCACCUCCUCCGAUGACGACACCGCCGCCCCCGCCGACGGGCCCGCUGUCGAUCCGGCGGCACUUGACGAUGACGGCCAGGACCACAUCAGCCGCCUACCGGACGACCUGCUCUCCAACAUCGUCUCCUGCCUCCCCACCAACGAAGCCGCGCGCACCAUGGUCCUCUCGACCCGCUGGCGCGGCGUCUGGGCGGCGACCCCGCUCCUCGUCGACGACGCCCACAUCAGGGCCCGCGGUUUCAGCGCCGUGCGUGCCCUCUCGCGCUGCGUGGCCGCUCACCCCGGCCCCGUCCGUGCCGUGCGCGUCACACGCACCUCCUUCCACCGGCAGGAGUACGCGCUCGAGCGCCUGAUCGCCAGCCUCGCCGCCAAGGACGUCCAGGACCUCAUCCUCUUCAACCGCCCCUGGCCGCUCGACAUGCCGCUCCCCGACGACAUCCUCAGCUGUGGCUCUCUCACCCGCCUCUACAUCGGCUUCUGGCGCUUCCCAGACACUACUGCCCACCAGCCCGCAUUUCCCAACCUCCAUGAGCUCGGCCUUUUUCACUCCAUCAUCGAGGACAGGGAUGUCGAUGCCUUGCUCGCGCACUGCUCCAAGCUGAGAAUCCUCUCCUUUGCCAUGGCGUACAGCUGCCGUUCACGCCUCCGUAUCAGGUCCAGCAGCCUCUGCGUCAUGAUGGAAUGGAGAUGCGGUUUCAAUGAAAUCAUCGUCGAGGAUGCACCUUGCCUGGAGCGCCUGCUCUUCCAUAGCAUUUCCGAUCGGAGGCCCGUUAGGAUUGUCAAUGCGCCUAGGCUGGAGGUGCUCGGCUUCUUGGACCUCCAGGUCCACGCGCUCGAGAUUGGUGGCGUUGUCAUCAGGGCCGGUAUGAAUGUGAGAGCUAGGGCCAUGCUGCCAAGUUUGAAGAUGCUGGCUGUCAAGGUGCGGUUUUCGCACGACAUGGAGGUCAAGAUGCUGGACACUCUGCUCAGAUGCUUUCCUCGCCUCGAAACGCUUCAUGUCAUGUCCAUUCGACCCAGUUCACCUGAUAGUGUCGGUUUUGCUGAGUUCUGGAAGUCCCUGGGCUCUUGUGAUUGCCUUGAAUCUCAUCUGAAGACAUUCGUCUUCAAUAGAUACCAGGGUCUGGACUGUGAGUACUUGUUUCUUUGUUAUAUCCUGAAGAAGGCGAAGGUGCUUAAGACGCUGGGCAUCGAUUGUGCUGAGAGUGAUGAUGUGGUAGUGGAGGGAGGCCCUAUGUCAGGUUCUGCUGGUGAGGGCAAUGUGUCAUCAGGUGGAAGUAGUGGCAGUGAUGGUGUGGUAAUGGAGGGAGGUCCUGUGUCAGGAUCCGUUGGUGAGGGCAAUGCGCCAUCAGGUGGAAGCAGUGGCAGUAAUAUUAUUUAUGUUUACGUUGCCUCCCCUUGCUGGACCUUUCAGAACGCCAUUGACUUGUCAGUGGAGGAUCCCUUCUGUGUGUUGAGGCAUGACAAGUGCUGGAUCGCUUCUCGAGUUAUGGCAUUAGAGGUUUCUGUUUUUGAUCAUGGUACUGAUGCUGGUGCUAUUUCACAUCGACAUGUUUACUUUGAGCUGCUAAGGGUGUGGUACUAG